Molecule: ribosomal RNA, 447 nt
Filed under: uncultured Thermovirga sp.
Lineage: Bacteria; Thermotogati; Synergistota; Synergistia; Synergistales; Thermovirgaceae
Description: bacterial SSU rRNA
Rfam family: Bacterial small subunit ribosomal RNA
Source: RNAcentral
GCACAAGCAGAGGAGCGCGUUGGUUUAAUUCGACGGCAAUACGAACGAACCUUACCAGGGUUUGAAUGUAUCUGCAUGCCCUAUGAAAAUAGGGAGGCCUUCGAGGGUGAUACACAGGUGCUGCAUGGCCGCCGUCAGCUCGUGUCGUGAGAUGUAGGGUUAAGUCCCGAAACGAGCGCAACCCCUAUUCUAUGUUACAAGUGUCUUAGAAAACCGCCUCGGUAAACGAGGAGGAAGGUGGGGAUGACGUCUGGUCCGCAUAGCCCUUAUGUCCUGGGCUACACACGCGCUACAAUGGCCGAUACAGUAGGAAGCCAAAUCGUAAGAUGGAGCUAAUCCUUAAAGUCGGUCUCAGUUCGGAUUGAGGUCUGAAAUUCGACCUCAUGAAGUUGGAUUUGCUAGUAAUCGUAGAUCAGCAAUGCUACGGUGAAUACGUUCUCGGGUCUU